GGACAACAGUUGGAAACGACUGCUAAUACCGCAUAAAAUAACGGAAUCGCAUGAUUCUGUUAUCAAAGGAGAAAUCCGCUGAAAGAUGGGCUCGCGUCUGAUUAGAUAGUUGGUGAGGUAACGGCCCACCAAGUCGACGAUCAGUAGCCGGACUGAGAGGUUGAACGGCCACAUUGAGACUGAGACACGGCCCAGACUCCUACGGGAGGCAGCAGUGGGGAUAUUGGACAAUGGGGGAAACCCUGAUCCAGCGAUGCCGCGCGAGGGAAGAAGGUUUUCGGAUUGUAAACCUCUGUGGACAGGGACGAUAAUGACGGUACCUGUCAAGAAAGCCACGGCUAACUACGUGCCAGCAGCCGCGGUAAUACGUAGGUGGCGAGCGUUGUCCGGAAUUACUGGGUGUAAAGGGAGUGUAGGCGGGAAGGCAAGUCAGAAGUGAAAAUUAUGGGCUCAACCCAUAACCUGCUUUUGAAACUGUUUUUCUUGAGUGAAGCAGAGGCAAGCGGAAUUCCUAGUGUAGCGGUGAAAUGCGUAGAUAUUAGGAGGAACACCAGUGGCGAAGGCGGCUUGCUGGGCUUUUACUGACGCUGAGGCUCGAAAGCGUGGGGAGCAAACAGGAUUAGAUACCCUGGUAGUCCACGCCGUAAACGAUGAUUACUAGGUGUGGGGGGAUGAACCCUUCCGUGCCGGA
Molecule: ribosomal RNA, 691 nt
Filed under: uncultured bacterium
Lineage: Bacteria
Description: bacterial SSU rRNA
Rfam family: Bacterial small subunit ribosomal RNA
Source: RNAcentral